UCCGGUUUGUCACCGGCAGUCUCAUUAGAGUGCCCUUUCGUAGCAACUAAUGACAAGGGUUGCGCUCGUUGCGGGACUUAACCCAACAUCUCACGACACGAGCUGACGACAGCCAUGCAGCACCUGUGUUACGGCUCUCUUUCGAGCACCCCCGGAUCUCUCCAGGGUUCCGUACAUGUCAAGGGUAGGUAAGGUUUUUCGCGUUGCAUCGAAUUAAUCCACAUCAUCCACCGCUUGUGCGGGUCCCCGUCAAUUCCUUUGAGUUUUAAUCUUGCGACCGUACUCCCCAGGCGGUCUACUUCACGCGUUAGCUGCGCCACUGACGGGUAAACCCGCCAACGGCUAGCAUCCAUCGUUUACGGCGUGGACUAC
RNAcentral lists this unclassified non-coding RNA (372 nucleotides) under uncultured Gammaproteobacteria bacterium. RNAcentral describes it as "contains 16S-23S intergenic spacer region". The record is from RNAcentral. Lineage: Bacteria; Pseudomonadati; Pseudomonadota; Gammaproteobacteria.